AUGGGUUGUGAUGAGCUGAGGUUUGUUGAUGUAGUCUGUGAGGAUAGUAACAUUAUUGAUCCACUAGGCUCUGGUGACAAGGAGGGUUUCACUAUCGCCUACUACGCUUUGAGGAUAACACAGAGUGGUGGCAUGGAGUGGGAUAUGCUUUUCUUCAUCACAUGCUAUGAAUUGUGGAGUAUCAACCCUGAACUCCCGCAUGAACUUCUGAAGCAUCCUGUUGUAAGUAUGGAGGACCCAAAUGUGGUAUAUUUUCUGAUGUCAGAGCGUCUGGAACAUGUUAACAAGGUUUCCGUAGUUACUCUUGAUAUGAGUACCAAAAGGCUGCUUCCAAUUCAUCCAUAUAUUAAUGGAAAGGAAGACCUCUUGGGCAAAGACGCUGACAUGGUUCGGCGAAACGCCACUUUUCUCCAAACCUUUCUUCCCUCAGAACUUCCUAAGUUCUUAAAAUCCCAUCAGAUUUCAUAG
RNAcentral lists this ribosomal RNA (468 nucleotides) under Triticum aestivum (bread wheat). Its description in RNAcentral is "partial small subunit ribosomal RNA". The record is from RNAcentral. Lineage: Eukaryota; Viridiplantae; Streptophyta; Magnoliopsida; Poales; Poaceae.